Egretta garzetta (little egret) is the source of this 2432-nucleotide long non-coding RNA. RefSeq lists it as uncharacterized. The record is from RefSeq and is a predicted model, not a curated record. The transcript has 2 exons. NCBI's taxonomy places the organism in Eukaryota, Metazoa, Chordata, Aves, Pelecaniformes, Ardeidae.
GGGACGCCUCAGCACAGUGCCUGGGACCUGGGAACAAGGUGGCGUCUUGUCCCCAACCUCAAACCCACGGACAUCCAGGGGGACACCCCGAGGAGAAGCGGGGACCCCGGCAGGACCCAGAGGAGGACGGAGAGGAGAGGCUGCGGGGGGUUGUGGAGGGCUCCGGCAGUGAUGGAGCAAAGCCCAGGCGGGUGUGGGACCCCCGCUCCGGGGUGCCCAGCCUCGCCGGGAUGCGGCACUUUGGUUUCAGCUGGGAUUGCGGGUUGGGAACGCAAGGAAGGAGCUGGAGAGACCCUCGCCCGCCGGGGAUGGGGUCCCGGUGCCACGCUCGGUGCCUGAGGAGAGCCACAUCUCCCCUGCCACCUCCUCCAGCCUGGUGCCACAGCCAGCACCCAGCACCCGGGCUCUGCCUCCCCAUGGGGACCAGGACCUCCGUCAGGCUGUCCCCAUGCCCCCAACACCGUCACCCGGCCCCAGCCGCGAUGGCGGGGAGGGAACCCAAGAAGGGGAGCUGUGGGUGGCCACGGGGACCCGAUCUGGCCGAGGACCGUGCCCGGCCACCCCGGCAUCCCAAGCUGCCCCACAGCCACCAGGGUGUCCCUACCCACCGGCCAGGCUGUGCCAGCACCACACGGCUCAUCCGUCUGCCAUCUCCCAGAUGCCACAAAGCCACCAAAGGAUGUGGCUUGGGCAUGGCACGGGGCACGCAUCCCCUGGCCCCCUACAUGCUCCAACACUAUUUUGGAGCAAAACCCUGCGGAAGCACCCGCCGCUCCGCCCAGCACCGCCACGGCCCCCUCUGCACCCGCAUCGCUCCGGUCCCGCGGCCACACCGCCACUGCCAUCCUCCCCGCAUCACUAAUUUUUGGGAAAUAUUAGACUUUAAAGCUGUCGUUCUGGUUUGGACGUCUGCUAGUGCCGCGCCACCCGUCCCCUUCCUCCCUCGGCUUUUGGUUUCAAUGCAAGGUUCUGUAGGGUAUUUUUAUUAUUAUUAAAAGAAAAAAAUAAUUAAAAAAAAAGGCAAAACAGAAGGGAGUGGAAACGAGAGCAGACUCUGUGUAAAUGCUCUCGUCUGCGGUUUCCCGGCGAGGCGGAGGUAGAGAGGCAGAGCCCCGGCGCGGAGCGGGGCCGGGGGCAUGCGGGGACACGCGCAGCGGGGAGGGCAGGGAUGGGAUGGACCCCCAGGAGAGCAGGCGGCCCCGCAGCAGGCGCAUCUGCAAUACUCUUAUAUAUUACCUCUUCUCAGGAAACGUAAGAAAAAUAGACAAUAUUACAUAUGUCACACCAUAAAUAAAGUGAACAGUCACUCAAGGGGCAGCCAGCAAAGCUCCCAGCCUCGGGGUGCACCCUCCCGGGGGGAUGCACCGAGGCCUUGGGGUGCACAAACCAACCCCUGGGGGGAUGCACCGAGGUCUCGGGGUCCUCAAAUCCACCCCUGGGGGGAUGCACCAAGGUCUCGGGGUGCACAGAAACCUCCCGGGGGGGAUGCACCGAGGCCUCAGGGUGCACAGAGCUGCAGCAAGGCUCAGUGCUGGUGGCACAGGGCCGUUAACGCCACCUCGGAGGUGCCCCAUGCACCCAGCUCUGCUGCGGCGCGGCACGGCACACGGCGUGGCACGGCACGGCACAGCCAUCGCAGGAGGCAGCUGCAAAGGCAGCGCAGCAGCCGGACCCCUGGGUGACUGGCAACACAACCGACCCGGCCCCAAACCCUUCCCUCCUCUUCCUCCCCUACAGAAAACACACAGGAUGGUUUUUGCAAAUGCGGAAAAACUACAGCUCCUAGCGAGCACACGACUUCAGUUUGCCUCCGGCCAGCCUCGCUCCCCCACGCCACAGCCUCCAGCGGGUUCUCAUCAUCCUUUAUUUGGCAAAUGUCUCUUAUUAUUAUCACUAUCAUUAUUAUUAUUAUUAUUAUUUUUUGGACCUCUGCAAAACACUAUUUACAUUCACAUUAGCGUACAGCACUCCUGCCCCGCGUGGGGCUUCCCUCCUCGGAGCCGGGGGACUUUCCGUAUUGCACUCCCGUCCUCUGCGCUUUGUACAACGAUGCCAGAAAUACAAAAUAAUCAACAUCGUCCUUGGCUGCCUCCUCGGCCAGGAAGGAGGUGGCGCUCGCUUUCCUUUCCUUUCUUUUUUCCUCUUAAAAAUCCUUGCAAAAUAAAUCAGACGCGGGGUGUGGGAGCAGCCCGGCAGUGAGGGGCUGGGGGGGGGUGUCCACCCCGACGGCUUCGGGAAGGUAGAAGAACCAAAAUCCAGCUUUUAAUCUUUUUUUUUUUUUUUUUUUAAUUCUCUUUUUCCAGGGCGGCGGCGGGCAGAGGUAGAGAUGUGCCGGCUCCGGCUGCGCCCACCGGGCGGUUCUCAGCCACCAUCUCCCCCUCCCACACCUCGGGGGCUUGCUUUUUAAAAAGAAAAAUUAAAAAAAAAAAAAA